This 4676-nucleotide long non-coding RNA is filed under the name Gallus gallus (chicken). Lineage: Eukaryota; Metazoa; Chordata; Aves; Galliformes; Phasianidae. The record is from RNAcentral.
CCCGCCUCCCCGGACCGCGGGGCUGAGCGGAAAGGGAGCGCGGGGGGCGCGCGCGUGGAUAGGCUGAGCGCGCCGCGCAAUCACGUGACACCGCACGCGACCCCCGGUAGAACCGUGGUACUUUAAUGAGCCCCGUACAGCGCGCGCCGCCGCAGCGUCUCAGCGCCCGCCCCGCGCGGCCCCUCCUCAGAGGUCGGCGCGAGCGCCCGCCGCCCUCGGCGCGUACUUGGGCAUCAGUUCGUGGAUCCUGCGGAUGAAGUCGGAUUUCUCGGCGCAGCCCUUGCACGCCUCGCCCCAGUCGUCGAGGAUCCGCCGCAGCUCCUUGACGCGCAGCUUGCGCAGGUCGGCGGUGCUCAGGUCGAUCUGUUUGUCUGCGGGGAGAGCAGAGCCGCGCUCAGCACGGAGCGCCGGGGGGUUCCGGCGGCGUCACCGCGCGGCGCGGCGGGCGGCACAGCGCUGAGCUGCAGAGCUCCGCGGCGACCCCGAAAGCCCCCUUCGCCGCAGCGCUGCGGCUGUCCUCCGCGGGACGGAAAGGGCGGUGGGGUCAGCGCGGAGGAAAGGCGGCGGUGACAGCGACGGAGGGCUGGCUGGGAAGCUACGGGGCGUUAGUGCAAGAAACGAGGAGUGCAGCAACCACAGCCCGGCGUGGCUGUGUCCAGGGGAUGUAAGGGCAGAGGGACGGCAGGCAGAAGGCACUUCCGUGGCCGUUCUUCACAUCAGUCUUCUCGGGAGGAGCACAUCAGCACGGAACACGAGCUCGAGGAGGGUGGUGAGAAACAGGACAGGCGACAAAGCAGCGCCCAUCGAUGCCAGCAGCGCCGGCACAGCCCAGCAGCCCUGCCAUGAGCUCAGCAGGCACCAUCGCAGCCCAGGCGUACUGCGUGCUGUCCUCACGGCCGUUAUUCCAACAGGGCUUUGAGCACAGCACUGCUGGCGCCUGGGAGGUCGAGCAGUGGUUCUGCGGGAGCUAAAGGGGUUAGCAGCCAGCAGCCCCACCUGAGCAUCCCCAUACAGCUGUGCAGGAUAUUCACAGACAACAGCCCAGCUUGUGCAACUACCCAGGCUGGUGACCUCCACGACUUCAGCAUGCUUUUACCCACAGUGAUGCAGUAUCCCAGGAAGGUGCAUCCAUUUUCCCCUUCUGGCAACUCACCGUAUUUCAGCUCGCAGAUCUGACUGUCUUUCUUCUUCAGUUUCUCGCAGAUCUUUUCCACGGGGAUGUGGUGACUCAUGGGUUUGGAAACCUCGUUAAUAAUUUUGGUGGCUGCAUCACUUGUGGCCCCAAUGUAAUAGCACUAAAGGGAAGAAAAAAAGCGAGGUGGAAAUGCAUGGAAACGCUCUUCUAAAUGUUCUUCUAUCCAUCUCUUUGCAGUUUGAUGUUUACAGUUAGAGAGCUUUCCAAGGGACUGCCAUAGGAGGGCAAAAGAAAGCCUGACUGUGAGCCAAGGGUCACUUCUCACACUGCUUCCCACUUUCCAGCACUGCCUUGCUGCUGCCUUGUUUUUAACAACUUGAAUUGGAUUACUGCAGCUUUCUUUGUUAGGGGACAAAGACUUUCGGAGGCAUUGCCCCCCUUUGUCUAUGGGUGUCCUUCUGCAGUCCUCUUCUUAGGAGAGCUCACCUGGUUUUACUUUAGGGCAGUUUGGUUUUCCUACAGCUGAACAGCUGAAAAGUGUCAAACAUUUUAACAGUUUAUGUAACACUCCAAAUGCAGGCUGACAGAGAAGUCCCACAGCAAAUAAAAGCUCUGUAAUUCCAAGCCCUUUGGUAACAGGGAGAAAUAAGGUCAGCAGCAAGACGUCUGUUGACAGAUAUAUCUGUAUGUUUAAAGUGAACUUCAUACAACAAGGUCAUACUCCCUGUCUCCUUUGCAACAAUGAAAAAUUACACGACCAGUUGUGGCCACAGAGCCAGGAAGCACAGCCCCCAGGGAGGGACGUCAUACAAACACAGAAGUGCUAGUUUCCCCUUGUUUGCCAAGCGUUCUACAACUUAUUUCCUCCAGAGUCAAUGUUGACGACUACUUACCAACCGGUUCUCUUUGCCUUUUGCCUCUCUGCAGGAUUUCAUGAGCUCCUUUUCAAUACUGGCGGGCGUGAACUCAACAUUGUUGUCCUUUAGACUCUGGUAGAACCUCCCCAGGAAGGUGACACACACCUCGCACUCCCCGUCGCGCAGCGCCCGGCUGCCGGCCGGCAGCAGGAGCAGGGCCAGCGUCGCCCAGAGCCCGUGGGCCGCCCGCAUCCCGCCUCGCUCGGCGCCCGCCACACCGCACUUAAAACUGAGAAAUGAAAUUACUGCCAAGAUAUCUUGCCAUUGCGAUAAACAGAUCAACUCAGCAGUCACUCAGUGAGCAUUGGUUGGAGCAGUGAGGAACCCAUCAAAAAAUGAACCAUGGAUUCUGCUGCCAUUUGGAAGUACUGCCUCAGAACUCUGUGAACAUUUGUGAUGGAUCAACAGGCAUCUCAGGCUGUUGCACGUCAGGUAAACCAACCGAGCUGCCACAUCUGCCUGAUGCUCGCUUUGAGAAGUUGUUAUUAAAGAAAUAGAGGACUGCCCAUGAGAGAAUGUUUUGAAAACUCUUCCUUAACUACACCUAACAGCUGCAAGGACCUUCUGGUUGCCUCCUCCCAGCCCUCCUCAGUCAAAGGAAGCCGCAUCUGUGGAAGUCUGGAGCACGCUGUCAGGAGGACAGCAAUGAAUGUACAGCUGUACCACUUUAAUAUCAGAUGGGGCCGGCAGGUACGCUCAUGACGGAGAGAUGUGCUGCAGAAUUCCACCAAUUGUUUCAGGAAUGCACAUGCUAUUCUGUUACGCAACGAAAACCCAAGGAAGGCAAGGAUGCAUUACGUCUGAAUCAGAGUUAAGUGCAGAACGAACGGGUCCUGUUCAAAACAUCCCGUUACUGUGGUUUAUACAAAGAAUCUUCAAAUCCUGUUGCACCAGUGCAACAACUGCUGUUGCUUCCCCCUGCUCCAGGACUGAGUUUGCUGAUGGAGUUGCACUGUGCUAGAAAGCCACCCCACCCUCCAGAGAAGUAUUAGUUCCGUGAAGUACUUGUUCCAGCAUUCACAAAACCUAACAGCAGUCUAUCUUCUGCACCCUUUAAGUUAAGCACUGAAAAGGGUGACAGAAUGUGUAGUAGGCAUCAGAACAACAGAAAUUUAACUCCACAGAGGCUCAAAUUUAGUGAAUUCAGUAAUUUAUUCCAUCCUCCUUUGUGUGCACCUGCCAUAAAUUGGGUAUCUGUAUACACCAUUCCAUUAUCUUCAACCCCCCUGCAAAUACAUAGUUAUGACAGACACUCAGAAUGGUCAGACUGCUGUUGUACAGCCCUUCUAAUCAGAGCGAGGUGGUGCACUGUGAGAGACUGAUGGGAGCUCCAGGGCAGGUCUUCCAGCUGAAUGGGACUUUGCCCCAUGUUAAUUGCAUUCCUGCUUUUGCAGUUUUAUUUGCAGGACCUGCUGGUUUUUUGGUGUUUUUUUUUUUAAUACAAUGAGGAAGUUCAGUAUAUCAGUACAUGUACUACUUUCAACCUUCCCACCAAAAAAACCCCCCAAAAACCAACCAAAACCAAACGUGGUCAGGGAGAUGGAAUUGAGUACUUAAUUCUCUUAAAAAUUUCUAAGAAUAACAUGAAAAUAUUUCACUCACUUCUAAGGAAUUACCUUGACUUACCUUCAUUGAAAACAUAACUCUGAAUGAGCUUUCGUAUCUGUGUGCUAUACCAGAGACCCAGCUUGGUUCAUUAACAGUUAGGGCGGUUCUACUACUGGAAAACUCUCACUCCUGCUAGAGAUGAAACAUCCACCGUAUGCCGGAUUUAAUAUCAUUCUCUUCUUAAUUGUGAUGGUUGUAGGGAUUACAAGCAGCCUAUGUUAGUGACAAAAUAGAGGAAGCACAAGAGACUUUGUUCCAGCCAAAUGGGCCACUUAAGAAACAAAACCAUAAUUUAUUACUUUUGUAUGGGCUAGAGCUUGAGAAAGAAAAGAAAGAAAUCCUCUUAAAAUCCCCUUCGCAUGACAGCUGACUGAGCCCAGACUUUGUACAGACAGACCAUCUUUAGGAGAGUUCAGAAGCAAUGUACUCCGCCCAGUCACUGUCUUUAGAGGUAGUGCUUAAGGUGACCUGUAACAGAGGCGUAUCCUUUUUUGCUUCUUUAUGCUGUUUGUAGAAGGAGAAACUGAGUGACUAGGGGAUUCCUAUUUCUGACACUAAUUUACGUGGUGGAGGAAAGUCUUUUGUCUGAAUGUGCUUCAGGUUUUUCAGUGGUAACUUACCAUCUUCUGGAGUGUGCUUUGCAGUCUGCAGGUGGAAAUGAAUGUAAGGAAAGGCCAAAAUGUGUGCGGGCACGGCAGCAGGAAAGAGCAUUACUUAUUUAUCUAAAAACACUAGAUACCUGCUUUUUUGAUCCAAAGUUUCUUGAAAAAUAUGAAAAUAUGAAAAUAGAAGAUUUCUUCUAGUUCUUUUCACACCACAGGUCUUGCCUCUUACCACAGAACUUUUUCCUGUCUUUUAAUGCAACUCAACUAAGCAAAUACUGAUUAAAAGGUUUGUUUCACACACGUGUGUACUGACUCCGCUUCUGCAUAGUUCUGUUUCUUGUUUUUGUUUGUUUGUUUUCUUUGCUUUUUUUCUAAAUCUCCCACCUGCACUGAAUUCUUCAUCCCUUUCUG